This 30-nucleotide non-coding RNA is filed under the name Homo sapiens (human). The record is from RNAcentral. Lineage: Eukaryota; Metazoa; Chordata; Mammalia; Primates; Hominidae.
UAUGAGAGAAUUGGGUAAACAUGGCGACCG